Molecule: ribosomal RNA, 603 nt
Filed under: uncultured archaeon
Lineage: Archaea
Description: bacterial SSU rRNA
Rfam family: Archaeal small subunit ribosomal RNA
Source: RNAcentral
GGUGUCUUCGGACGCCGGCAUACGGCUCAGUAACACGUAGGUAACCUACCCUCAGGACUGAGAUAACCCCGGGAAACUGGGGCUAAUAUUAGAUAGAUAAAAGAUACUGGAAUGUUCUUUUAUCCAAAGCUUUUGCGCCUGAGGAUGGGCCUGCGUCCGAUUAGGUUGUUGGUGGGGUAAUGGCCCACCAAGCCCGCGAUCGGUACGGGCAGUGGGAGCUGAAGCCCGGAGUUGGGGACUGAGACAAGGCCCCAGGCCCUACGGGGCGCAGCAGGCGCGAAACCUCUGCAAUGCGGGAAACCGUGACAGGGGGAUCCCAAGUGCUCAUGCAUUGCAUGGGCUGUUCUUUGGUCUAAGUAACCAGAGGAGUAAGGGCUGGGCAAGACCGGUGCCAGCCGCCGCGGUAAUACCGGCAGCUCAAGUGGUAGCCGCGAUUAUUGGGCCUAAAACGUUCGUAGCCGGAUAAGUAAGUCUUUGGUUAAAUCCUGCGACUCAACCGUGGGAAUUCUAGAGAUACUGCUUGUCUUGAGACCGGGAGAGGUUGGAGGUACUCCUAGGGUAGGGGUGAAAUCCUGUAAUCCUAGGGGGACCACCUGUGGCGAA